This 114-nucleotide small nuclear RNA is filed under the name Salvator merianae (Argentine black and white tegu). RNAcentral's name for it is "U5 spliceosomal RNA (ENSSMRG00000011084.1)". It matches the Rfam family "U5 spliceosomal RNA". From Rfam's summary of the family: U5 RNA is a component of both types of known spliceosome. Lineage: Eukaryota; Metazoa; Chordata; Lepidosauria; Squamata; Teiidae. The record is from Rfam by way of RNAcentral.
AUACUCUGAUUUCUCUUCAGAUUGUAUAAAUCUUUUGCCUUUUACUAAAGAUUUCCGUGCAGAGGAACAUUUAUGAAUUUGUAACAGUUUUUGAGGCCCUGAGAUAGAUAGAUA